Molecule: ribosomal RNA, 460 nt
Filed under: uncultured bacterium
Lineage: Bacteria
Description: partial 16S ribosomal RNA
Rfam family: Bacterial small subunit ribosomal RNA
Source: RNAcentral
CCUACGGGGGGCAGCAGUGAGGAAUAUUGGUCAAUGGACGAGAGUCUGAACCAGCCAAGUAGCGUGAAGGAUGACUGCCCUAUGGGUUGUAAACUUCUUUUAUAUGGGAAUAAAAUGUUCCACGUGUGGGAUUUUGUAUGUACCAUAGGAAUAAGGAUCGGCUAACUCCGUGCCAGCAGCCGCGGUAAUACGGAGGAUCCGAGCGUUAUCCGGAUUUAUUGGGUUUAAAGGGAGCGUAGGUGGAUUGUUAAGUCAGUUGUGAAAGUUUGCGGCUCAACCGUAAAAUUGCAGUUGAAACUGGCAGUCUUGAGUACAGUAGAGGUGGGCGGAAUUCGUGGUGUAGCGGUGAAAUGCUUAGAUAUCACGAAGAACUCCGAUUGCGAAGGCAGUUCACUGGACUGCAACUGACACUGAGGCUCGAAAGUGUGGGUAUCAAACAGGAUUAGAUACCCGUGUAGUC